Molecule: long non-coding RNA, 1802 nt
Organism: Acanthaster planci (crown-of-thorns starfish)
Lineage: Eukaryota; Metazoa; Echinodermata; Asteroidea; Valvatida; Acanthasteridae
Source: RefSeq, a predicted model, not a curated record
GUCAUGCACGUGGGUGCGGUGGCUCGCGCACACGUGCACAUAGAGCCCACUGAGGGCACGGUGGUCGCUCUAAUCCGUUUAUUUUUGCGACUUUGUAUAUCAUCUAGCCCAUGUUAGACCUGGGUUAUGUAUCAUCAAGAAAUUAGUCUUUGGGGAAUCGCUGGCACAUCUACGUGAUAACAUUGAUGGAGGAGUCUACAACGUAACCAUCUUUCGACAAAUCGUUCUUCCAUCUUCCGUGCCUUCUCCAGCACCUUUCAUUUACAGAUGUUCUUGCUGCCAUGGAUGCUCCUCCAGCCCUCAACCAGUGCAAACCUACAUGUACAUAGGGCUUCACCAGCGAAGAGGACUGGUGGUCUAUGCGUUUAUAUGUCUGUGGCAUGCGCAAAAUGGGAAAACAGGACGUGACAAGAUUUGGAAUGCUCCUUGGCAUGUUAGUAUUACAAACAAAAGACAAUGAGUUUCUAGCCACACAACUGCAUGUGUGCACAAGAUUUGAUGGAAAAUGGUGUCCUGUAUGCAGAGUUGUUUAGAGUAUGUGUUGGAGGUUCCUUUCGAGUUCUGUGAUGUUUUCCACCAGACAUUUUACCCACUUGGUGAUGUGCAGUCAGGAUGGGAGGGUGAGACCAUCUUUAUGCUAUGGUCAAAACUUGGCAGCUUUUCAGCUAAGCACACGUUUUGUCCCACACCACUUUGUGUGUCUAGUUCCUCAAGUGUGUGAACAUCAUGAUGGUGAUAAUGAAAGCCAAACAGCAGAAAGCCUCGAAAAAGAACAAAUCCAUGCCUCAAAAUGUCAGUGUUACGUCACGCACCGGUUCCAUCCAUGGCUCCAGAACAAAUGGAGAGUGGAGUUGUCAUACUACAGAGGAGCCUAAUGCAGCUAGUCCUAACCAAGAGAAGUCUCUUCACGAGGCAUGGAGUUCACCAGCCAGUCCUCAGAAGGAGCAAACAUCUCACCAGGAACCCAGUUCACCAGCCAGUCCUCAGAAGGAGCAGACUCCUUACCAGGUACCCACUUCACCAGCCAGUCCUCAGAAGGAACAGACAUCUCAUCAGGAACCCAGUUCACCAGCCAGUCCUCAGAAGGAGCAGACUCCUUACCAGGAGGAAGUCAUUAAAAGAAAACGAUGGAGCAAGGACAGGCCAAUGAGUGGGCAGCAUCAGUGGAGAGCACAGAACCUGAAGCGGGCUCAAGAGAGACUCAAGUUCCAGUGAGCACCCAAGUGACACCCACUCUGACAGUGAUGAGGAGCAAGAACAGUGGAUGGAGGAAACAGCAGGUGUUAAAGGUGAUAGCAGCAUGGUUGGUCCCCUUCCUGUUGGCUCAUUUUCUGGCAUCACUGAAAGAGUAAGGUGAUAGCAGCGUGGUUGGUCCUCUGCCUGUGUGCUCAUCCUCUGGCAUCAGUGCCCCAGGAGAGUGAGCCAUUACUUGUUUUACAACAUGAUUUGGGUUGUCACAACAAUUUGUUUAAAGAUUUGGGAAGGCCUCAUUGCCAGGUGAAUGUACUGCCACAGCUGUCCUUGAACAGCUGAACGUUGAAGCUGGCUAGCAUCAUGGUUUGAGUGGACUGGCCAAUGAAAUCUCCAAAGUGAAGAGGCAGGUUACGUCAUAAGUAGCACAGACCUCCUCACAUGAAAACUGUGGGUAUGCCCUAAGAGAAGCCAAUGCCAAUGUGAAGAGCGCCCUUGCCUCCUUCAACCUGGAGAGAAGGAAGCUGGAGGACAAGAUUCUAUGGGACUUCACAGAGAUGAUUCAUGAAGAAGUAACUCAGAUAGAUGCCAGUCUUUGCCCUCCAUCACUG